CGACUUAUGAGCUAGCAUUGAUUGAUGAAAUAUGAAUAUGUCGUACAUAUCACUACAGGUGACUCUGACCUAUGAGCUAGCAUUGAUUGAUGAGAUAUGGAUAUGUCUGUCACGCCCCGGACCCGGGGUCGGUAGUAAAAACUUGAACCCGAAUCCAAAACGCGAGUAAAACUAAAUAAAUAAAAGAAAAUUGACACGGGUUGAAAAAUGAACUCCUCUUAUUAAAAUAACUCCAAAACCUUACAGGGUGUACAAAAGUAAUAAAUUAAAAUCCUUAAACUUCUCAACAACCUCAGCUUGUCCAACACCUGUCUUGCCAAAUAACACUUGUAUUGCCAAAUAACUCAUCUGUAAAAUAAUAGGUGAGGGGUGAGCAACAACCACCGUCGCUCAGUGAGUAGAAUAUGUAAUAUGUCAGUCAAGCUUGCCAUUUUAACCACUAUAAAAUAGGAUAAUAAUAUCAAAGCUUUAGCCACAUAAUUCCAUAUCACAUCAUCCCUUUACGUGUCCAUUAUAUCCUUCAUAAAUUGUAACUCACCACGUGACCCCUAAUGGCCAUCUGCCCUAAUGUCCCCGUGUGCAGUUUACAUUUAUCCCUCAGAUUAAUGCAACACUAAAGUUCUCAUGCUCCAUGAACAUUUCCAAAUAAUCCACAUAUCACGAUAUAUAAUAACUCCAAAACAUUUCAACAAGUCCAACAUGCUUGACUUGAAAUAGAUAGAGAUUUAUAAAUAGAUAAAACCCACAAUAGUUCGUGGUUUUCAUUUAUCAGAAAAUAAGAAUACUUUGAAACACAUUACAUAAACCACUCACUUUGAUAAUCCAAGCUUUGGCAAGACAACCCAACUAACAUCUCCGCACACCUCAAACUAGCUUUCCCUUUUUCUUUUCUUUCUAAGCUCUCACUCUAACGUAUAUAUAAAUAUAUACGCACACCACAUAUAUAUUGCAUGCUCUGCAUGUUUCCUUCUUUUUAUGCUCCAAAAACAAUGGAGCAAAGCUCCUAUUUAUAGUACCGA
RNAcentral lists this long non-coding RNA (1019 nucleotides) under Malus domestica (apple). Its description in RNAcentral is "long non-coding RNA (MDOM_LNC019968)". The record is from RNAcentral. Lineage: Eukaryota; Viridiplantae; Streptophyta; Magnoliopsida; Rosales; Rosaceae.